RNAcentral lists this ribosomal RNA (237 nucleotides) under uncultured bacterium. RNAcentral's name for it is "partial 16S ribosomal RNA". It matches the Rfam family "Bacterial small subunit ribosomal RNA", at positions 97 to 334 of the family's 1533-position model. The record is from RNAcentral.
GGCGAAAGGGUGAGUAAUGCUUGGAUGACCUGCCCUCGAGUUGGGGACAACAGUUCGAAAGGACUGCUAAUACCCGAUAGUCCGUACCGGAUGCGUCCGGGUCGGUAAAGGUUGAUUCCGCUCGUGGAGGGGUCCAAGUCCUAUCAGCUUGUUGGUGAGGUAACGGCUCACCAAGGCGAUGGCGGGUAGCCGGACUGAGAGGUUGGCCGGCCACAUGGGAACUGAGACACUGUCCUG